UACAGAGGGUGCAAGCGUUAAUCGGAUUUACUGGGCGUAAAGGGCGCGUAGGUGGUAAAGCAAGUAAGAUGUGAAAGCCCUGGGCUUAACCUGGGAAGUGCAUCUUAAACUGCUUAACUAGAGUAUGGUAGAGGGUAGUGGAAUUUCCGGUGGAGCGGUGAAAUGCGUAGAGAUCGGAAAGAACACCAACGGCGAAAGCACUCUGCUGGGCCGACACUGACACUGAGAGACGAAAGCUAGGGGAGCGAAUGGG
This 253-nucleotide ribosomal RNA is filed under the name uncultured bacterium. Its description in RNAcentral is "partial 16S ribosomal RNA". It matches the Rfam family "Bacterial small subunit ribosomal RNA", at positions 524 to 776 of the family's 1533-position model. The record is from RNAcentral.